AAGGCUUUCACUGAAAUGACAUGCUUUCACAUAUAAGCAGACUGCUUUAGGGAAUCAAAGUUGACUUAUAGACUGAUAAAUCUCCUUGGAAGAAAGAACUGGUCUCAUACUUCAUCUACAUAGUCCCUGUAUAGGGUUCCUAACUGUGGGUUUCUACUGUCUUUUUCCUGAUUGCCUGCAAGCUAAAGCUUAUUCUUUAUGAUACAGAACUCUGCAGAGAGUCCCCACCAGCAAGAAGGCCCUCACCAGAUGCACCUCCCUUGACCUUGGACUUCUCAGCCUCC
This is a long non-coding RNA of Symphalangus syndactylus (siamang), 284 nucleotides long. RefSeq lists it as uncharacterized. Lineage: Eukaryota; Metazoa; Chordata; Mammalia; Primates; Hylobatidae. The record is from RefSeq and is a predicted model, not a curated record.